This is a long non-coding RNA of Haliotis rufescens (red abalone), 2615 nucleotides long. RefSeq lists it as uncharacterized. NCBI's taxonomy places the organism in Eukaryota, Metazoa, Mollusca, Gastropoda, Lepetellida, Haliotidae. The transcript is spliced from 2 exons. The record is from RefSeq and is a predicted model, not a curated record.
UUCCACUACCUCAUCAAGUAGUGUGGCCGGCCAUGUGAUGUGUGGAAGGUUUGCCAGGACGUGUUGAUGCCUGGGGCACGGACUGUCCACAUCCAAGGCAUCAAUGGAGGGCACGCCUGACGUUGUCAUCCAAGAUGGUUUCAAUACUUUGAUAUAUUUAUUACAAUGACUAGAUGACGACAUGAGACUAGAGACUACCUUAUUCACUCGGUAGCUCAUCCUGGGCCAACUAUUGAUCUUCUGAUUGUCGUCUGCUACGUUUGCCCGUGUGCGUCACAUGUUGCCCGGACAUGGCCUGGAGCAGACGAUAGAGACAACUGCCUUCCGUGAAACUCAGAACAUACAGAAACAGAACAUGAGGUGGAUUACUUCGUUGGAAACAUUUUUGAUCGUCUCACUGAUGAUGACAGUGACUUGCUCCGCCGAAAGUAAAGGUGUUUUUUGCAAGGGAGAUGGUCCAGGUGCGAUCCCCGACCCAAUACCGGACGCCAAGCAACAAGCCACGUUCCAGUGCGCACUGGCGUGUCUGAAAUCCGGUUCCGCUUCAUGUGCUUCCGCUGGAUUUGCCAUGAAGUGGGACGGUCCGACAUGCGAGGCGAAGGGAGCGGGCGGCGCGAGCAGAACGGACUACACCUGUACCAGCUUAUAAGCUGGUGUGACGAUGCCGUUAUAAGCUGGUGUGACGAUGCCGUUAAACUUGGAUGAUAGUUAUUGCUAUCUACACACAUUUUCUGUUCACUCUUAUGAGACUAUUGUCGAAUUUUGACAACAUUAACGUUUUCUUUGAAAUGAUUUAAACUAUUUCAAGAUUAUACUGCAAACUGCACUUCAACUUUCAUUGAGCUAUUUUGUUAGCGAUGAAACUCAAGGGUGGAUCCAGCAUUCUUAUCAAAAUCCUCUCUGUACUACAUUUGGUGUUCCAUAAGUGGUAGGAUGUGGCUCUUGUUCCGCCUAUGAUACUGUUCUGAAAAAACAACAACAUAGUUAUGACAUUUAUUUUACAAUAAUGAUUUCUAAGAAUCUACUGGUGAAACUGCAGUCCUUAUUUUUGUUGUGUUGACUUUAUUACAUUGAUGUAUUGUGUGUCAUGUUGUCCACGUUGUGUCGAGGCCACGACACGAUUCUGUGUUAACCCUUUCUAUCCCCGUGUACAGCGAAUUGUUGAUCAGCACAGGUGGAAAAGGACGGUAUAUUGAUUAAAACAAUAUUCAGUAACAAUCAAAAUGAUAUCGGAAUGGAGUUUACUUUUUCAAAGAUUGCAUUUCAUCUGCAAAUCUUUUUUUUUUUAAACCGACAUACAAUCAAUAUGUCGAUAAAUCUGUGAAUGUUAUAAGAUUAACAAUUUCUUCAGAUGUUUUUUAAAUACAUUUUCGGUAAUUGUUAUGGUUAGGGUUACUGGUGAAAAGCAAGCCAAACAAGAUAUGCUAUUGUCCCGAAAACAUAUUAAAUGUGUUUUAGGUUCGGGACAGUCGUCAGCUGUAGUCAGGCAUUCCAAUCCCUCUUGUCCCACUCGGUGUCUAGGAUGUAUACAGUAGCAGCCCUGAGUACCCUAAUUAUUCCACCCUCAUGACACUACCCUAGCUAUACCACCCUAGUGACACUACCCUAAUUACACCACCCUGAUUAUACCACCCUAAUGACAGUACCCUAAUUACACCACCCUGAUUAUACCACCCUAAUGACAGUAUCCUAAUGACGCUACCCUAAUUACACCACCCUAAUGACACUACCCUAAUGACGCUACCCUAAUGACGCUACCCUUAUGACGCUACCCUAAUUAUACCACCCUAAUGACAGUACCCUAAUGACGCUACCCUAAUUACACCACCCUAAUGACACUACCCUAAUGACGCUACCCUAAUGACACUACCCUAAUGACGCUACCCUAAUGACGCUACCUUAAUGACGCUACCCUAAUUAUACCACCCUAAUGACACUACCCUAAUGACGCUACCCUAAUGACACUACCCUAAUGACGCUACCCUGAGGACGCUACCCUAAUGACACUACCCUAAUCACACAACCCUAAUGACGCUACCCUAAUGACGCUACCCUUAUGACGCUACCCUAAUUAUACCACCCUAAUGAUAGUACCCUAAUGACGCUACCCUAAUGACACCGCCCUAAUGACACUACCCUAAUUACGCUACCCUAAUGACGCUACCCUAAUUGUACCACCCUAAUGACACUACCCUAAUUACAACACAACCCUAUUUUUUAUUUCACACAUUGCUCUAAUUCCAACGUCUAGGCAGACGCUGGGGCGGUGGGGUAGUCUAAAAGCGUUAGUUCGUCACGCUGCAGGCCCGGGUUCUAUUCGUUACAUGGGUACAAUGCCCUAAGGUCAUUUCUGGGGACUUCCGCCGCAGGAAUAUUGCUAAAAUAACAUAAAAUCAUACUAACUCACUCACUCACUCAUACUCUUUGGCAACGGACCAUAGAGCGGCGGUGUUAUUUAUACCAACAUGUUAUCUUAAUAACUCAUGUGUUUAAACUUACAUCUUUAGACUUGACUGUGGUGUUCAUAACGUCAUGUACACACUUACCAAACGAUGUAAAAAUCCGUCCAGCCUGUUCUUGUGCAUGUUAUCUUUCAAAUAAAUCUGUAAAUGUUU